This is a long non-coding RNA of Hemicordylus capensis (graceful crag lizard), 301 nucleotides long. RefSeq lists it as uncharacterized. Lineage: Eukaryota; Metazoa; Chordata; Lepidosauria; Squamata; Cordylidae. The transcript is spliced from 2 exons. The record is from RefSeq and is a predicted model, not a curated record.
AGGGGCCUCCUAACCCCCAAACCUCCCUGCUGACAUCAGAAGCCGGCAGUUGUCUGGGCGUCCUAUCCGCCCACCCAGCAAUGAGAGGAUUGUCUGUGGGGGAGAUGGAUUAAAUGGUCAAGGAUGUCCAGUUCUUUGGGUUUGUGGGGCUGCUGCUUUGGAAGAUCUGACCCAUUACAUUGUUGAAUGUCAACUUUAUACCAGUAUUAGAGAACAACACCUGCCCCCACCACCCCGGCCAAUGAAAAUGAAUGAAAUGUAAAUUUACUGUUAUUUCUAGGUUUAAAUUUAUUUUAUUGUU